RNAcentral lists this long non-coding RNA (220 nucleotides) under Carica papaya (papaya). RNAcentral describes it as "long non-coding RNA (CPAP_LNC012699)". The record is from RNAcentral. Lineage: Eukaryota; Viridiplantae; Streptophyta; Magnoliopsida; Brassicales; Caricaceae.
GCUGAACAGAACCCAGAAAGCGGCUGCAACAAUAAUGGAGAGUGGUGAUGAGAAGAAGCAUUUGGAAGAAGUUCCCGCAGAGAAAUAUGAGAAUGGCUCCUCUGGAAUUCUUUCUGUGGUGAAGAUGAUAAAGCAGGCUGGUUCUAUGGCUAAACAAGACAUCAAAGCUUUGGUUCUUGAUGCUUUGGGAGCUCUACUUGUCUGUGCUCACCCUCACCCU